UACGAAGGGGGCUAGCGUUGUCCGGAAUCAUUGGGCGUAAAGCGCGCGUAGGCGGCCCGGUAAGUCCGCUGUAAAAGUCAAAGGCUCAACCUUUGAAUGUCAGUGGAUACUGCCGGGCUAGAGUCCGGAAGAGGCGAGUGGAAUUCCUGGUGUAGCGGUGGAAUGCGCAGAUAUCAGGAGGAACACCAACGGCGAAGGCAGCUCGCUAGGACGGUACUGACGCUAAGGCGCGAAAGCGUGGGGAGCGAACAGGAUUAGAAACCCGAGUAGUCC
This 273-nucleotide ribosomal RNA is filed under the name uncultured bacterium. Its description in RNAcentral is "partial 16S ribosomal RNA". It matches the Rfam family "Bacterial small subunit ribosomal RNA", at positions 524 to 796 of the family's 1533-position model. The record is from RNAcentral.